AUGGCGGAUGUGACUAAAAUCAUGAAGAUCCGAACGAACUUAAGGGUAGAUGAUUGGUUGGCGUGGGGGCCUGGAAGGUUGGGACAGUUUUCAGUGAAGAGCGCAUAUGAGCUAGCCUUUGAAGAAGCAAACCGUGCCACAGCAGUAGCUUCAAGCACUAAUCCAUCGGGCGAGCGUGCAUGCUGGAAGUGUAUCUGGGCCUGUGAUAUACCCCCCACCAUGCGGAACUUUGCGUGGAGACUCUCCACUAACUCACUACCCACUUGGCAGAGGAAGAACAUAAUAGGGCUGGAGACAUCCGCGGUCUGUCCUAUUUGUGCAAGAGAACCGGAGGACAAUUUCCAUGCCUUCUUUGUAUGCCCUGGAGGACAACAAUUGUAUACUAAAAUGGCAGAGUUAUGGCAUUUACCCGAGCUGCGAUCAGUUCACAACACAGGGACCGAAUGGCUGCUGCAAGCAUUAGAGCCCUUAUGUCAUAUGUCGCGGAGUAUGAUGCUGAUGACCUUGUGGAGGAUCUGGCAUGUUCGCAACGAGUUGGUUCAUAACAAACCGGCUCCGCCACUGGAUGUCUCGAACUGUGACCCAAGGAAAGGGAAGAUGGUGAUCACAUAUGCGCCGGAAGCAGGCACAUCACAUGUUGCAGAGGCUAUACGUCCCCCUAGGUGGUUGGCACCACCGUUGGGAUGGGUUAAGCUAAACUGCACGGGAUCAGUAGGCGUAGACGGAGGAGCGGGAGCGGGAGCGAUCCUAAGGAAGGAAGAUGGUGUCAUCAUGCUUUCCUUGUGUAGGAAGCUAUAUUCUUGCAGAGAUGUGAUAGAAGCUGAGUUAUAUGCAUGCAAGGAGGGUUUGGCAGCGGCUGUCCAACGGAGUAAAGCACCUAUGGUGAUCGAGUUGGGAUCCAAGGAAGUUCUGAAGAUGAUCCGUAGCAAUGAAGCUGAUAGAUCUAUCUAUGCUCAUUUAGUGUCUGAAGUUAAGCAGCUAGCUGUUAGCUGUAACUCUCUUUUCUCGUUUGACCGGGGCAACACCCCGGACAUGCCAUCGAACUCCAGAUCUGGCACCCCGCCACGACUAAAACGCCGAAGGAGGAAACCGUAUCUGCCAUCCAUGAACUACAAGCCCAGCACAUGCUCCAUCUUCCAGAUGUCGUCGAUGCAGACCACAAUCUGCAUCCGCUCCUGGACUACCUCCCAAGCUCCGCGCCGACGCUGGAGCAAACGCCGUCGCAACGGCGGAGCACGAGGACACAGGUCCACCACGAGGAUGUCGCCGCCGCCGCGCCAUCCUUACUUGAACAGACUGGUUUCCAAAUCCAUCCCCAACCAUAGGACCGAGCCUCGUCAGGGAAGGAUCCGAAGAAUCUUUAUUCAGCAUUGUCAUCGUCGCUGCCGAAGCAAAGACGAUGAACAACCUAAAAACCUAGACUACGAGAGAGUAGAAGCGAUCCACACGCGUGGAUCCGGCAACCCCCCUCACCACCGACAACCGAGGUCGCCGGCGGAGGGGAGCCGCCGGAGAGCGGCGUUGGAAUAUCGGCUUCCCUUGGCGGCGGCUAGGGUUCCAGCGGCCAGGGACGAGAGGAAACCCCUUGACGAUCCGAUCCACAGCUAG
RNAcentral lists this ribosomal RNA (1608 nucleotides) under Triticum aestivum (bread wheat). Its description in RNAcentral is "partial small subunit ribosomal RNA". The record is from RNAcentral. Lineage: Eukaryota; Viridiplantae; Streptophyta; Magnoliopsida; Poales; Poaceae.